This 300-nucleotide ribosomal RNA is filed under the name uncultured Pyrobaculum sp. RNAcentral describes it as "bacterial SSU rRNA". It matches the Rfam family "Bacterial small subunit ribosomal RNA", at positions 496 to 795 of the family's 1533-position model. Lineage: Archaea; Thermoproteati; Thermoproteota; Thermoprotei; Thermoproteales; Thermoproteaceae. The record is from RNAcentral.
GGGAAGUUGGGGGAAGAUGACGCGAUAAUAGGAAGGAUUCGAGCGUGAACCGGAUGUAGUGGGUUGAAGAUGGUAGUAGGCGGACUUAAAAUGAAGUGGUGAAAUCCGAUGGCUUAACGAUAGAAGUGGCAUUGAUAGUGUAGGGCUUGAGUAUAGAGGCGGGUGGCGGAAUGUGUGAUGUAGGGGUGAAAUGCAUAGAUAUGACACAGAACACCGAGUGCGAAGGCAGCUGACGAAACUAUAACUGACGCUGAUGCACGAAAGCGUGGGGAGCAAACAGGAUUAGAUACCCGAGUAGUC